Molecule: ribosomal RNA, 781 nt
Filed under: uncultured organism
Description: bacterial SSU rRNA
Rfam family: Bacterial small subunit ribosomal RNA
Source: RNAcentral
UAGUGGCAUACGGGUGCGUAACACGUGAGCAACCUGCCUUGAAGUGGGGAAUAGCGCGGGGAAACCCGGAUUAAUACCGCAUGUGGUCUCUUUUCGCAUGAAAAGACGACUAAAGUUUGUAAUGACUCCUCAAGAGGGGCUCGCGGCCUAUCAUGUUUUAGGUGAGGUAAAGGCUCACCAAGGCAAAGACGGGUAGCUGGUCUGAGAGGAUGAUCAGCCACACUGGAACUGAGAUACGGUCCAGACACCUACGGGUGGCAGCAGUUUCGAAUCAUUCACAAUGGGGGAAACCCUGAUGGUGCAACGCCGCGUGGAGGAUGACGGCCUUCGGGUUGUAAACUCCUGUCACCAAGGAACAAACGGCAGGUUCAUAGCCUGUCCUGAGUUAACUUGGAGAGGAAGAGGUGGCUAACUCCGUGCCAGCAGCCGCGGUAAUACGGAGACCUCGAGCGUUACUCGGAUUCACUGGGCGUAAAGAGUAUGUAGGCGGUUUGGUAUGUCAGGUGUGAAAGCCCGAAGCUCAACUUCGGAAUUGCGCCUGAAACUACCGGACUUGAGGCCUGGAGAGGGGAGUGGAAUUCCUGGUGUAGCGGUGAAAUGCGUAGAUAUCAGGAGGAACACCAAUGGCGAAGGCAGCUCCCUGGACAGGUUCUGACGCUGAGAUACGAAAGCGUGGGUAGCGAAAGGGAUUAGAUACCCCUGUAGUCCACGCCGUAAACGUUGUACACUAGGUUUCGGAGGGCCUACCCCUUCGGGAGCUCAAGCUAAACGCGAUAAGUGU